GACGAACGCUGGCGGCGUGCUUAACACAUGCAAGUCGAACGGAAAGGCCCUGCUUUUGUGGGGUGCUCGAGUGGCGAACGGGUGAGUAACACGUGAGUAACCUGCCCUUGACUUUGGGAUAACUUCAGGAAACUGGGGCUAAUACCGGAUAGGAGCUCCUGCUGCAUGGUGGGGGUUGGAAAGUUUCGGCGGUUGGGGAUGGACUCGCGGCUUAUCAGCUUGUUGGUGGGGUAGUGGCUUACCAAGGGAUUGACGGGUAGCCGGCCUGGGAGGGUGACCGGCCACAUUGGGACUGCGAGACGGCGCAGACUCCUACGGGAGGCAGCAGUGGGGAAUAUUGCACAAUGGGCGGAAGCCGGAUGCAGCGACGCCGCGUGCGGGAUGACGGUCUUCGGGGUGUAAACCGCUUUCGCCUGUGACGAAGCGUGAGUGACGGUAAUGGGUAAAGAAGCACCGGCUAACUACGUG
Molecule: ribosomal RNA, 468 nt
Filed under: uncultured bacterium
Lineage: Bacteria
Description: partial 16S ribosomal RNA
Rfam family: Bacterial small subunit ribosomal RNA
Source: RNAcentral